RNAcentral lists this long non-coding RNA (267 nucleotides) under Dermacentor andersoni. Its description in RNAcentral is "uncharacterized LOC126540647". The record is from RNAcentral. Lineage: Eukaryota; Metazoa; Arthropoda; Arachnida; Ixodida; Ixodidae.
AUGGUGCCAGCCCUACUGGUUCUACGCUGAACCAAGCUUGUUCCCACGCCAGUGGCUUCAUAAUGGUUCAGUCUGACCACACAUAUGCAGGACCAAGCACUGAAGCAAGCGCUUCAUCUCUGGAACCUGGCACGGCAGGGGUGGCCGCAACACUGUCAGCGAGUGCUGAUCUGUCACCAGGAGCUCCGUUCAGCAGUUCGCCUCUUUCUUAUGAAGGAUCUUUCACCAGCCCCAUCAAUGAAAGGCGGCCACUGCAGAAACUUCGAG